GGUGCCGCGCAAGCCGAAUUGAUUAUGGUUCCGCGACCGGACCGCUCGGCUCACGUGCAGUGCCUCGUGGUGACGCAUUUGUUUCCCGUCCGAAGGACGCCGCAACCGAUUGGGAGACGGSCYGAAAGUCGARSSRMSGGCAGGUGGCCGGUGGCGCUUUUAACGGCGUCGUCGGUGUCUAGCCAGCUCCUCACACGGCACGUAUCUCGAUCGUGGUGUCGCAAAGCCCCCCACGGGCUUUUCCGCCUCCUCUGUAAAAGAUGCGGACUGGAUGCGGCAGUGGCUCUGCAGUGCUGCAGGCGCACGGACUGACUCCGUGGCCAGCGGUCUGGAGUCCACGUUGGCCGUGCGGGAUCCGUUGGAGGUUGGUGGUUAGCGGCGAGUAGAUCGGUCACCCAUCCGACCCGUCUUGAAACACGGACCAAGGAGUCUAACAUGUGUGCGAGUCAAUGGGUCUCGAUUAAGCCCAGAGGCGCAAUGAAAGCAAAGGCCGGACUCGACGCCGGUUGAGUUGGGAUCCCCGGGCCUUCGAGCUCGGGGCGCACCAACGACCCGUCCUAUCCGAUUUAUCGGUUGGGCGGAGUUUGAGCAUACACGUUGGGACCCGAAAGAUGGUGACCUAUGCCCGGGCAGGACGAGGCCAGAGGAAACUCUGGUGGAGGUCCGCAGCGGUUCUGACGUGCAAAUCGA
This 690-nucleotide ribosomal RNA is filed under the name Anelosimus rupununi. RNAcentral describes it as "partial 28S ribosomal RNA". It matches the Rfam family "Eukaryotic large subunit ribosomal RNA", at positions 573 to 901 of the family's 3401-position model. Lineage: Eukaryota; Metazoa; Arthropoda; Arachnida; Araneae; Theridiidae. The record is from RNAcentral.